CUCGCCACCCUCACCGGCUUCUCCAACCCCCCCAGAUGGAAUCUCUGCCCCCCGUAACACCGAAGUCUGCGUGUUUAAUGGACGCCGUUGGAGCUUAAGAAGCUCCGCGCGGAGCUGACGCGUCUGUAAACAGGAGCCUGCCUGCGCUACAGCUCCAACAUGCACAGACUUGCAUCUGCAGAGCCUUUCGGGGAGGAGAAGAGAAGAAGAGGAGAAACUCAAACUGGGAGCGUUGUGUUCCUCUUUUCAACUCGUGGUUUCCAAACAUACUUUGGUCUUUUUUGGCAACAGAGAGUCCAUAUUGACGGACUUUUGACGUGUCCGGCCAAGCAGCACAUCGCUAACACAACCUGGACGCUCGUGCUAAUCCAGUAGUUGUAAGUGUUUGUGAUGGCGCCUCUGUGAUCCGCAGUUUGUAUUGGAAGUUUCUCCCUUUGUGCCGCUCUGUUCGGCUCAGAACGCCUCCAGCGCUCUUCCUCUUCCUUCCUUUUCCUUCCGACAGCGACGCGAAAAAAAAAUCCAGCGCGAGUUCUUUGAGCGCUGUCUGCACGGCCCUCGAUCCGGUUGGAAAUAAAAGGGAUGACAGCUCUGGGGCACAUUGUCUCAGCUCUCUUUUGUUCUGAGAGACUUUCUGAUUACCUUUUGCUCCAGAACUCAGAGCUGCUCUCUCUGCAGUACCCUGAUCAAUCUGAUGUUUCAACAACGGGGCGGCAGAAUUAGCCGCAAUGGCUGUUUAAGAAAGGAUCCUGGCAGCGCUUGGACCUGAUCUCCACUGCAGACUUUCAUUUAAUGCAGACGUGUGUGUCCGCGGUGCUGUGAGCUGUGUGAGGUCAGACCUGCCUCAGAAAGCUACAGAUUUCUGAACGAGGGCAAAAAUCAUAUCAGACUCUGAUGUGACCGCACGUGGGAGCUGCUUCCACGUUCUGAUCCGAUAUUAACACGUUCGGCAUCAGCGCCGACACACAGACACAAUCUAUACACACUUAUUCUGCUGUGCUCAGUUUGACAUUUGACCUUUGACCUCUCCUAUGUUCAAUUCUGAUUCAGUCAACCCCAUCUGACAUCUAGCUUUGAAACCCCUCCUGGGCUACCACCUUAUCGUGGUGGAGGGGUUUGCGUGUCCCAAUGAUCCUAGGAGCUCCGCCUGGGGCUUUAUGCUCCUGGUAGGGCCACCCAUGGCAAACAGGUCCUAGGUGGGGGAACAAGUUUCCCUUGCCUGGAUGCGGGUCACCGGGGGCCCCUCCUGGAGCCAGGCCUGGGGGCGGGGCACGUUGGCGAGUGCC
RNAcentral lists this long non-coding RNA (1283 nucleotides) under Takifugu rubripes (torafugu). Its description in RNAcentral is "lncRNA (ENSTRUG00000031948.1)". Lineage: Eukaryota; Metazoa; Chordata; Actinopteri; Tetraodontiformes; Tetraodontidae. The record is from RNAcentral.